GACGAACGCUGCCGGCGUGCUCAGCACAGGCACGUCGAGCGGGAAGGCCCUGCUUUUUUUUUGUUCUCGAGUGGCGAACGGGUGAUUAACACGUGUGUAACCUGCCCUCUACUUGGGGAUAACUUCCGGGCACUGGCGUCAAUACCUGAUAGGAGCGCCGGCUGCGUGUUGGUGGUUGGAUAGUUUCGGCGGUUGGGGAUGGACUCGCGUCUUAUCAUCUUGGCGGUGUGGUAGUGGCUUACCACGGCUGUGACGGGUAGCCGGCCUGAGAGGGUAACCGGGCACAUUGGGACUGAGAUACGGCCCAGACUCCUCCGGGAGGCAGCAGUGGGGGAUAGUGCAGAACGGGCGGAAGCCUGCAGCAGCAACGCCGCGUGAGGGAUGACGGCCUUCGGGUUGUAACCCGUUUUCGAAGGUGACGGAGCGUGAGUGCCGGCAAUGGGUAAAGGAGGACAGGCUCCCCACCUU
This 468-nucleotide ribosomal RNA is filed under the name uncultured bacterium. RNAcentral's name for it is "partial 16S ribosomal RNA". It matches the Rfam family "Bacterial small subunit ribosomal RNA", at positions 28 to 507 of the family's 1533-position model. The record is from RNAcentral.